AAUGAACGCUGGCGGCGUGCCUAACACAUGCAAGUCGAGCGAGAAAGUCCUUCGGGAGUGAGUACAGCGGCGGACGGGUGAGGAACGCGUGAGAAUCUGCCCUUUAGUGAAGGAUACCCUCGAGAAAUCGAGGUUAAUACUGCAUACGUCCCCUACGGGGAGAAAGGUGGCUUAUGCUGUCGCUAAAGGAUGAGCUUGCGUACUAUCAGCUAGUUGGGGGG
RNAcentral lists this ribosomal RNA (221 nucleotides) under uncultured bacterium. RNAcentral describes it as "partial 16S ribosomal RNA". It matches the Rfam family "Bacterial small subunit ribosomal RNA", at positions 29 to 256 of the family's 1533-position model. The record is from RNAcentral.